GAUGAAGAACGUAGCAAAAUGCGAUAAGUAAUGUGAAUUGCAGAAUUCAGUGAAUCAUCGAAUCUUUGAACGCACAUUGCGCCCGCUGGUAUUCCGGCGGGCAUGCCUGUUCGAGCGUCAUUUCAACCCUCAGGCCCCCGGGUUUGGUGUUGGGGAUCGGCUCUGCCCUUCUGGGCGGUGCCGCCCCCGAAAUACAUUGGCGGUCUCGCUGCAGCCUCCAUUGCGUAGUAGCUAACACCUCGCAACUGGAACGCGGCGCGGCCAUGCCGUAAAACCCCAACUUCUGAAUGUUGACCUCGGAUCAGGUAGGAAUACCCGCUGAACUUAAGCAUAUCAAUAAGCGGAGGA
This 348-nucleotide unclassified non-coding RNA is filed under the name soil metagenome. RNAcentral describes it as "partial contains 5.8S ribosomal RNA, internal transcribed spacer 2, and large subunit ribosomal RNA". The stretch from base 1 to 120 matches the Rfam family "5.8S ribosomal RNA", at positions 35 to 154 of the family's 154-position model. The record is from RNAcentral.